AAGAACUUUCAGGUUCGUGAACAGGUAGAGAUUCAGGGAGAGAAGUGCACUCUGAAACGGUAUGGAAACUCCAUGCCUUUCCUUCAUACCCUGUUCUACAUCUCUUUCAUCUGGUUGUUUCUAAAUUUUAUAAUAAUCAGCCACUACCGAAGACAUUAUCACCUUUAAUGAAGAGAAAGAAAGCAAAAAAUACAAAAGGCUCUGUUUAUGUUUCUGCGUUGGAUGAUUCACAUCUACUUUUCCCUGUGCAGCCUUGGGAGAGGGAAGAGGCCCCUGGAGGAAACAACUGGAAAAGUUCAGGGAACUAAAUUCAGACAAGGUGUGCAUAUAGGGAAAACAGAUUUAAAUUUGGAAAUAUUAUACUACCAUGUGUGUAUAUGCUGGAAAUCACUUAGAAAAGAAUGCUUUGGAAAUACCUAGGAUAGUGGCCAGUACAUACAGUCAUGAAUGAAGGAUU
This is a long non-coding RNA of Panthera uncia (snow leopard), 457 nucleotides long. RefSeq lists it as uncharacterized. The record is from RefSeq and is a predicted model, not a curated record. The transcript is spliced from 3 exons. NCBI's taxonomy places the organism in Eukaryota, Metazoa, Chordata, Mammalia, Carnivora, Felidae.